This 715-nucleotide long non-coding RNA is filed under the name Struthio camelus australis. Its description in RNAcentral is "lncRNA (ENSSCUG00000014911.1)". Lineage: Eukaryota; Metazoa; Chordata; Aves; Struthioniformes; Struthionidae. The record is from RNAcentral.
GGGUAUGGUAUACUCAGUACUUAAGAUGUCACCUCCAGUUAAAAACUGUGCAACAGACCUCAGCAGCAUAGAGCACUGAGCUCAGAUUUCUGGUGCCUUCCCACAGAGUUUUGAUUGAAGACUUAUUUCUUAUCUUUAGUGGGCUCCGUGGCAUGAAUUCAGGAUAUCUGAAAGACUGAUGAAACCUGCAGGAUGAAGAACACUGUCAGCAUUUGUAUAAAGAUUUUGGCUGCGGCUCUGCAUAGCUCAUUCUGCCUAACCAACUAACUUUAUAGACACUUGACUAGCUCUCCCAAAUUAGGAGUCUGAUACUUCUUCAGUGGAUGGAGAGAGAAAGAGAGGGGCACAGCCAAAGGAUGCCUUAGUACCUCAACCUGUGUCUACUGCUGGUUAAAAGUUCCAGAGAAGCUGGAUGUUCCAAACUCUACGUUGCUUUUCCUGCAUAAACUUAUGGUGCAAAAGGGGUAUGGAAGAACAGUGAAAUCCAUUGGCCAGAUAAGAUGUCACUGUGCUGUGCACUUCUUAUGUCAUGGGUUCUUUGCUGGAACUCAGAGAAAAUGAGCCAUCAGUCAAAGAUCCAUGCAUGUGAAGAGGUUUUUUACUAGAAAUGGCGAUGUACAAGCCUGGGGAAUUUUCUUCAAAGGAAUAGUCAUGGUAACUUGUGAAAAUUAAUCUUGCUGAGAAAACUGAUAGAUUCCUGUAAAAUAUUGAAGUA